This 24-nucleotide non-coding RNA is filed under the name Arabidopsis thaliana (thale cress). Lineage: Eukaryota; Viridiplantae; Streptophyta; Magnoliopsida; Brassicales; Brassicaceae. The record is from RNAcentral.
GGACAAUUUCAAAACCACGUUUUG